CAGGUGGUUGCUAGGCAGUUGCUAAGUGGUUGCUAGGCAGUUGCUAACAUUUUCCAAGUGGUUGCUAAGUGGUUGCUAGGUAGUUGCUAACAUAUUCCAGGUGGUUGCUAGGCAGCUGCUAAGUGGUUGCUAGGCAGUUGCUAACGUUUUCCAGGUGGUUGCUAAGUGGUUGCUAGGCAGUUGCUAAUGUUUUCCAGGUGGUUGCUAGGCAGUUGCUAAGUGGUUGCUAGGCAGUUGCUAACGUUUUCCAGGUGGUUGCUAAGUGGUUGCUAGGCAGUUGCUAACGUUUUCCAGGUGGUUGCUAAGUGGUUGCUAGGCAGUUGCUAACGUAUUCCAGGUGGUUGCUAGGCAGUUGCUAAGUGGUUGCAAGGCAGUUGCUAACGUUUUCCAAGUGGUUGCUAGGCAGUUGCUAAGUGGUUGCUAGGCAGUUGCUAACGUUUUCCAGGUGGUUGCUAAGUGGUUGCUAGGCAGUUGCUAACAUUUUCCAGGUGGUUGCUAGGCAGUUGCUAAGUUGUUGCUAAGCAGUUGCUAACGUUUCCAGGUGGUUGCUAAGUG
This is a long non-coding RNA of Astyanax mexicanus (Mexican tetra), 555 nucleotides long. RefSeq lists it as uncharacterized. The record is from RefSeq and is a predicted model, not a curated record. The transcript is spliced from 5 exons. NCBI's taxonomy places the organism in Eukaryota, Metazoa, Chordata, Actinopteri, Characiformes, Acestrorhamphidae.